GAAAGGCAGUAGGGCAAGGCAUAAUCCAACUUGCUUUUCUUACUGGGACACAGUCGUUUUCCUUGGAUAAAUGCUUCCACAGAUUGCUUCCAGCCUCUGGCUAAUUUCUAGAGCUCUGAAAAGGUUCAGAAAGUUGGGUUAAGAGCUGGCCCAUGCACCAACCCUGAGCGCCCUGUCUGAUGCAUUGAACCUGGACUGGAGAUCUAUUUCAUGGAUGGUUAGCAUACAGCAUCCACAUGGCCUAAUGAAAGUCAGAACAAUCCUAUGUGAAAUGGAACUAGACUGGUUCCUCUGCUCCCCUAAGUGACCCCUUGAAGCUGUUUAGAGAAGAUGAAGGAAUAAUUUUAAUUAACCAAAGAGCAAUUGCAAAGGCACAUUUCCCACUGCCUGCCAGAAACUGUCAUAGCUAAACUUUGCCAGGAUUUAUUUCAUGCAAACAAGACUGAA
Odocoileus virginianus texanus is the source of this 447-nucleotide non-coding RNA. Lineage: Eukaryota; Metazoa; Chordata; Mammalia; Artiodactyla; Cervidae. The record is from RefSeq and is a predicted model, not a curated record.